UGGUGGAGUGAUUUGUCUGGUUAAUUCCGAUAACGAACGAGACUCUGUCCUGCUAAAUAGUCCCGGCGUCUCUUUUCGCGCUGGGAGUUCUUCUUAGAGGGACUGGCGGCGUCUAGCCGCACGAGAUUGAGCAAUAACA
Molecule: ribosomal RNA, 139 nt
Filed under: uncultured eukaryote
Lineage: Eukaryota
Description: partial 18S ribosomal RNA
Rfam family: Eukaryotic small subunit ribosomal RNA
Source: RNAcentral